AAAAUAAAAAAAUUCUGCGUUCGGGGGGAAUCGAACCCCCGUCGAAUGCUUGGAAGGCAUCCAUGCUGACCAUCACA
Caenorhabditis elegans is the source of this 77-nucleotide non-coding RNA. The record is from Ensembl. NCBI's taxonomy places the organism in Eukaryota, Metazoa, Nematoda, Chromadorea, Rhabditida, Rhabditidae.